GAGUGAAACCUGGGAGUGUGUAGGGCGUGAAUCCUGGGAGGGUGUAGAGUGUGAAACCUGUGAGGGUGUCGGGUGUGAACUCUAGGAGGAUGCAGGGUGUGAAGCCUGAGGAGGUGAUGGGUGUGAACUCUGGGAAGGUGCAGGGUGUGAAGCCGGGGAGGUGUAGCGUGUGAAUCCUGUGAGGGUGCAGGGUGUGAAACCUGGGAGGGUGUAGGGCAUGAAUCCUGGGAGUAGAGUGUGAAGUCUUGGAGGGUGCAGAGUGUGAUGCCUGAGAAGGUGCAGUGUGUGAAAGUCGGGGAUGAGCCAGUGUGGGAAGGGAGUCAGGGGUGGUGAGCAAGGGAGAGGAGCUUGUGCAAGCAGGAGGCAGGGGUCCUGAAGCUCCUGGUGACCAGGGAAUGAGCACCAGGGUGGGCGUGGCAGGAACGGAGGCUCAAGUGGAGGGAAAGCAGUCCACUCCAGGGUUCUGUGAUCCAAGGAAGGAAAUUUAUGGUUCACCCUGUGCAUGAUGUGAAUGGAGCUGGUGCUUUGUCAACAAGAGAUCUGGAGAGACAAUGGUGUCAGCAGCCCACCCUGGCUGCUGUGUGCAGAGUGGACCUAAGCAGGUGGGACUGGGUGUGGAAGAUCAUGUGGCUCUCGAGGCAGUCUGCCUGGGUGUGAUGGGCUUCUAAACCAGGCUAUUGGUGGUCAGCUCAGGAAGACAAAGGAGGCAAGACAUACAUGGGGGUUAAAAUCAGCUGGACGUGGGACUUAAGGAACAUGUGAGGGAUGGAGGGGACAAGAGGAUGUGAAGGGAGGACACAGAGCUUGUGCUGGCUCCAGGCUUUGGCUCAGGCAACUGGAAGGUAAUGAGAGAAGCCGAUUUGGAGGAAGGUAAUGAGUUUGGUUUUGGAUGUAAAUUUAAAGUCCUGCAGGACACCCAGCUGACUAACAAGGAAUGAACAGGCUGCUUUAAAUGUCAGGGCAGUUUGGGGCUGAUCUCUAGGUCUGGAAGCCAUAAGCCAGAAGGAAAGUUUAAACUACAAGCACUCAUAGGACCAGUGCUCUUAGGGUGAGAAAUGCAGUGUUCCAGGAUAAAGUAAGGAGGCCGUGGAAGAGAAGAACCCAGGACCAGGACUAAGACAUGGAGGCCAGAGGGGUGAGGUGGGCAGGGAGGGGUUGCACCAUGGAGCCCACAGAGCACAGAGCUUGUGGCGGAGAGCACAGAGAGAGUUGUAGCAAUCGUGUUUAACUCUGUUUCUUAAAAAUAUUAAGAAUGUCCUCUAGCUUACAAUGUACUAUUAACAACCAUGAUUGUAACACAGGAAAGCACGUAUUGGCAUUCUACAAAUAAAAAUAAACAAAAUCUGUCUUAUUUUCUCUUUUAUUCCCAAUGUCUGACUCCUGUGAGGUGAUGCAAGGUGAUCAACCAGUAUGUGUUGAAUGAAGAUGUCAUCAAGCAAAUGACAAAAUCAAGCACUGAAGUAACCACCAAGUCUGGAAAGUUUACAUCCUGUGUAUUUUAGGGUUCAUGCCUUCCCACCCCAAGCUGUAGCCUCAGCAUCCCCUCAUGGAUGCUAUUGCACCAGCCACACCACCUCACCCCACAGUGCUCCCAGCAGCGUCCCUCACGUCCCCGCGACACAUUGCUCACAGUUCCUCUGAAGCAUACAUCUGAAUGGCAGAGGCAAGGUGCUUGUCAUUGUGCCAUUUUUGAAACUCCUGUAAGUUCUCACUAAAACAGAGCAACUUGCAUAGCAAAACUAGAAACCCUCAGGCGGCAUCUUCAACAAAAGUAGUAACAAGGUACCCACGUGGACCCCAACACGAUGACCAAGCAUGCUGAGCCAUGGGCCGGCCCUUCCCCACCCACCUGGUGUUGGGAGGUGGUGGCCAGGAAACAGAGGCCACAUGGGGACUCACGAAGGACAGUGGCCCACACUGGCCCGGGUGCCACGCCAGGCACGUUGAGGGCGUCCGGUGGUGGGUGCCUGGCCUCGUCAGCUCCGACGGCGACCCAGCACCACCAAGCGACCUGGGAGCUGAGUCUCCUACCAGAUGGGGAGACCCUGGGACAGAGAAGGAAGGUCCGGAUCAAACCGGAGAAGAAUCGAAGCAGGUGUUUGCACCUCUUUUGUACCUGAUCCAAACAAACCAGUUGUGACACAGAUUCCUAAGACACCAGGGCCAGGGGGUGAACGGCUUGCCAAAGCCCUUCAAAUGUCACUAGCCCAUGUCACCAGCCCAUGACAAAUGACCUAGGCUUCCCAGCGCUUGGAUCCAGACCUCUGCUGCACACACAGAGUGAGAAACCACACACAAGUCUUCUUCCAAAGAAACUUCUCACUGAAAACAACAGGUGUCAAUAUGUUCUUCAACUUAAAACUUUUUUUGAACUUCUGCCCCUGGAAAUAAGUAUGUUAAAGAAAGCAAAUCAUCAAUUUAAAAAAAAAAAAGAAAAAAACCUUAUAUAACAGAGCCUGAAACUAAACCACCAUCCAGAUUAGAAAAAACAAAAGUUCCAGAAAUGAUGCUGCCCAGGCCCUUGCAUAAAUCCGGCCCAGCCAGCACCCCCGAGGCCUGAGCCGUGAGCACCUGCCUGCCAGGGCCACCAUCCCCACCGAGCCGCUGGUGUCUGCCUCCUCUGCAGCCUGUCUGCACUGCGAUGGCCUCUCACCCAGAUGCUGAGCUGCUCCCCUCAGGGACAAGGGGAUCUUGCUUCACGCCUGUCUGACCAAGUUCCACGGGGUCAUGAUUGAUGAGGCCUAGGGUGAGUCCGCCCACCGUCGGCAACGCUGGCCUGAAGCAGGCCGUGCAGGCCUGUCCUGAGACCCACCCUCCCUGGCUGGGGCACCAGUGUCUAUCACACACGCUUCAAAUUCAGCCACCUGAUUUUCUCUGUUCGAGGCUAAUGAGCUAAACAGGCCUGGAGCAUUGUUUUGUACUGUUGAUCACAUCGUGAACCACACGUUCCUGGGCUGGCACAGGCUUCUGCAGCCUCCUGUGCGGGAUUUGGCAGACACCAACAAGGGAAUUUCGAAUCAGCGCCUCUGCUCACUGAGGGUCUCUCUCGCAACAGUCACACCUUCCCACUUGCUCCUCGCUGAGACCCCACGGUGGGAAAGCCAGUGAUCUCCACUCCCGGCCUCCUCCUUUUGGCCUGGAUUCUGCCUUUGAAAUAUUUCCAGCAGUCAAACCUCCACUUUGAUGACUGGCUCCCUGGACAACCAGUUUCUAGAAACUCGAGGCCACCCCUCCCACAACACCCAAAAGGCACAGUCCCACUUAGCUUUCUGACCUCUCUCCUUUUAGAAGCUGCUUUGUCUCGUCCCCUGGUCUCCAUCAGACCCUUCCUCACCCCCUUCCAUCCCUCCCCUUUCUCCCCUCUUAUGACUGUCUUGAGACCCUGUAAGUCCCUGCCACUCUCCCCGCAUCCCUCUGGGACUGGAUGGAGAGCCGAGGACCUGCCAUCUGCAUGAGAGAAGCUCCUGGGCCACCGGACCUGAUGGAAUCAUCCAUCGCUGGGGCUGCCCUGCUCCUGCUCGGCCUCUCUCAGUGGCAUUCUGCGGGGGAUGGCGGUAGCACGUCGGGCAGCCUGGUGCGGGCUCUCCUCCUGUGCAGUGCCAGGAGAUUGCUGCUCAAUUUCAGCCCUGUGGAUGUAAUGGCAGUGCCCUUCUCUAAGCUUCAUUCCUGAAGUCACGGGUAGAUUUGUAGACCCCGCACUGCGGAACCACUCUUCAUUCUCAUGACACACAUGUGAAAUUACCUCAGUUUUGCCAGCAGCUCCCUGCACAUAGUAGGUGCCCAGCACGCAGCUGCAGAAUGAGGGGUGCACCAUCCUUUGGGCUUCUCUAAGCCGUCCCACUGUGCACACACAAAGACAACACAAUGCUCAUCAUUUGUCACCAGUUUUGAAAAGGACCUCAUGACCCCAGCACUGCAGCCACCUGACUCAUAGCUUUGCUUUGAAAUGUCCUUUCCAAGUACUUUCUGAAGUACUCCCAUUCUUCAAGAAGACUUGAGACUAUUUAAUAUUACAGUGACCCUUAAACAAUGCAAGACACAGGGGCACCGACCCCGUGUAGAGUGGAAAGAAAAUCCAUGUAUAACUUUUGACUUCCCCAAACCUUUACUCAUAGCCUACUGUUCACCAGAAGCCUUGCAGAUAACAGAAACAGUCAAUUAACACAAAUUUUGCAU
Nomascus leucogenys (northern white-cheeked gibbon) is the source of this 4176-nucleotide long non-coding RNA. RefSeq lists it as uncharacterized. The transcript is spliced from 3 exons. NCBI's taxonomy places the organism in Eukaryota, Metazoa, Chordata, Mammalia, Primates, Hylobatidae. The record is from RefSeq and is a predicted model, not a curated record.